Mesocricetus auratus (golden hamster) is the source of this 964-nucleotide long non-coding RNA. RefSeq lists it as uncharacterized. The transcript is spliced from 2 exons. The record is from RefSeq and is a predicted model, not a curated record. Lineage: Eukaryota; Metazoa; Chordata; Mammalia; Rodentia; Cricetidae.
AACCUGUGGACAGCCACACAGAAGAUUUAUGGCAAACACAGUCCUCUCCCCACAGUCCCCUCCAUGACAGGCCCCAGGACUUUUACUCUGCCCUUCAACCGUGGUGCUGGAGGUGGAAGGGGGCAGAAAUCGGAACCAAGGUUUCAGUCCCACCAGGAGAGAAGUGGACCCCAGUUUGGAUGAGUUCUGAGACACACAAGGUUUCUGAUGACAGGCCUGGGGUACAGCUCAGUGGCAGAACACUUGCCCGUCUUGUGUAAUGCUCUGGGUUUCAUCCCCAGAGAUGGGGCAGCAUCAAAGAGAAAGUGAAAGGAACGGCUAACUAGCGGGCCCACGGUACGUACGUCAGGCAGCGACUCAAUGAACUGGUGGAUGUUGGCCUCCUUGGCCGCCCUCACGAUCUCUUCCUGGGACACGACCCUGCUGUUGUCUCCAUAGGCGAUGUUCUCGGCGAUGCUGCAGUCAAACAGGAUGGGCUCUUGGGACACAAUGCCCAGGUGUGCUCGGAGCCACUGGACAUUCAGUUGCUUUACUUCUUUGCCAUCUAGAAACUGGGAGCAAGGGUUCACAGGUCAACUUCAGCACCAGCGCGAUUCAGAUUUAGUAAAGCUACUGCCGUUAUUUCAUAGUACAAAUGACAUUAAGGAAAAGGCUGUCUGGUUGAUUUUUUAAUUGACAUGAGAUAAUGGGUUAAGUAUUAUAUUUUUAUGUGUAUAUAUCAGUCAAUGUACUUUCCUUUGAUUUGUCUCUCACUACCUCUACAACUCUACAGCCUGAGAUAAGUUCUCACUCUGUAGCCCAGGCUGGCCUGGAGCUCACACUGUAACUCGGGCAAGUCUUGAAUCCACGGGAAUUCUCCUUUCUCAGCUUCCAAAAUACUGAGACUAUAGAGAUAAACUACCAGCAGCAGGAUCUUACAACUCUUUUUACACAAAUAUUUAAUAAUAUAUUUAAUGAAACAGUA